GUGGACAUCUGGGUGAUGAUAUCAUCUGCUAGAAUCGGUCUGUUUGGCCUCUUCCAUGUUUUGUGACCUUUAGCAUCAGUGCCAACGGUGUGCACAGAUCAAGACUUUGUUUCCACAACUUUUAGUUCAGACGGUUGGCGUUUCACAUUUGCUUUUUUGGGAAUGAUUUCCUUGUCUUGAUGUUUUUACGUAAGAAAACAGAGCUGAAAGGGUUCCUGUGUCCUCUGAUUCCAGAUCGCGCCGGCCAAGCAUCAGAGGAAGUUAGCUGCAGUUUGGUCCUCACAACUGUCAGCAGAAGACAGAGCCUACACGUGUCCUGGCACACUGAUUGGCCUCCUCUUGGACAGCCACAUAAACCUCAUCAAAUUCAGAAAGCUAACAAUGUCGACGAUGCGCCUGAUGAAUCUGGAAUCUGGAUUGUGCUGACUGCUUCCAGCUGAACCCCCGACCGAGCUCCCAAGUGAACUUUCAUCACUACGUUGGAUUCGCAUUCUACCAUUCAAUUUAUUUUGGAUGUGUUAUAUGUACACUAGAGAAUAGAAACGGUUGUAUAUUUUUGUCGCAUGGAUUCCGAUAUCAAAUUUAAAAAGGGAGUGUACAGUUUGAGCGUGUCAAAAUAAGCCAUGCAAGUCUUUGUCUGCACGGACCCGCGUGAAUUGUGAUAUAGCAAAUGGCUCAUUAAAUGAGAUAUGACGCUUUGAUCACUUCGCCGACACUUGGAUAAGUGGAGCAAAUAAAAGGGUAAUACGUCAUUUCAUUUCAGGAGAUUGCAAGUAAAUUUCAAAGAGUUUGAUACUGAUGCUAUAUGUGUUCGAAGACUAGCGACCGGAGGUUAACACGCCUCCGUAGCUCAAAUACGGAAAUGGUGCAUGCAUGUAGUCCAUUUAUUAAAGUAGCAGAUCGGUCUCUGUUUGGCCCAAAUACAGUUAAUUUUGAACCAACGUUUUUCAUAGUGUGCUUUCAGCAACCGUAUUGGGGAAAUACUAAACCUGCAUGAAAUGAAAACGCUCUCUGAAUCCAACCUGGGAGUUUUUACACUCUAAAUAUAUUACAUGGUGCAAUGAGCUGCCCUGAUGUUCGGAACGUCCCAUUUCGACAGUCAUUGAUGAGGCCCUUUUCCUACAUUGUCUGGUGACAAGGAGUGACAAUAGAGUUGCAAUCCCCACCUGAGAUGGCCAACUUGGUGUGCAUGUGAAGCAGAGGGGAUGAAAGGUGACCAUGAGGGGUUGGGGGUGGCCCAGGGGUUGAAGGGUGAGAAGU
This is a long non-coding RNA of Hippocampus zosterae (dwarf seahorse), 1260 nucleotides long. RefSeq lists it as uncharacterized. The transcript has 3 exons. The record is from RefSeq and is a predicted model, not a curated record. NCBI's taxonomy places the organism in Eukaryota, Metazoa, Chordata, Actinopteri, Syngnathiformes, Syngnathidae.